CGAUCAGGACAAAAUCAGCUGUGCCCAGCUCCUCGCACCAAAUCAACCACACGAGGUGACCGAAUCCACUUCUCUCCCCCACCUCAGGGGAGAUAGAUGCUGAAUCCCUGAAGCGCUGCACUGGGAUUUGUGGCUGUUUCUUGGGACAGCUUGCACCAUGCCAGGGUGGCUCAGCAGCCCAGCUAGCGCUCGAUCCGGCACAGCAGUGUGAAGGCCAGGUACCAUAGCAGAAAAAUUCCAGGACCUCAGCCGAGGGUUCGAAGACAUGCAAUCCCAUUACAUGUCCCAUGAAUACAAGUCACCCCAGCCGGUGCUACCAUAGGCAAGAGGAACUUCUCUCCUUUGCCUCCUGGCAAGGCACAGCAGGAAUGCACGCAGAGGUGACUACGGCCCCUGGAAAACCUCUCACUGGUGUGGGACCAGGUCCAUACACAGUAGGAACCACUCUGUGCCCUAGUGCACACGCAGGUGUUUCAGCUCCAGUAAGGAGAAGAUGGAUGCAGGGAACAAGAGGGUGGAUGGACUGGUACCCAAAGCCUUUCUGUGCUCAGCCAAGGCAGGAGCUGCCAUCACCAACGAGCUGCUGCAGGAGCUCUCCCACUUCCAGAUGUCACUCUUGGCCAGCAGAGACCAGCUCCUCUGGGGACAUCCAGGGCCCCGUGGGCAUGUCCCUGUGUAAGGCCCUGAUGCAUCACUUCCCCAGGAACAUUCUGCUCUGGCAGAGCUUGCCCAAAGGGUUUGUUCUCCCCUUCUGCACCUUUUCAAACCAGCCCUAAGAACUGAAUGCGCCCAGCUCUGUAGCUUCUGCUUGCACACAAACACACUCAAGUUGGGCUCUGUAAUUUGCUGUGCACACAAGUCAGAAAGAUGGAUGGUUAGCUGCCUACAUGAUGGUUUCUAGAUAUCCCUGUCGUGUCCCUUAAUCAUACACUAUAUCAAACAAACAGUCCGCAUUCUUGGUACGGCCGUGGCAAUGUCUGACUGAUUCUCCCCGUUCAUAAAGCAGGGCAUUAUCUCUUCCCAUCUGCAAACAUAAAAAUCCCACAGUGUUAUUACACAACUGAUGCCAUCAUAAAAUUCUCCCCACGCCUUCCUCACCUCUCCCUUUCAUUUUUACGUUCCCAUCAAUCGGACUGAGACUUUCUACCUCUUCUGCAGCCUCUUGCCUUCCCCUCUGCCCCCUCUCAGGAGGGCUGACAGAGCAGGGGGGCACCUUGGGCUCUUUGUUUUUAAUGUCAAUACUGGGGGUUACCCCCGUGGCAUGUCGGCUGGGGUAGGAGCUGCCCCCCUCCCCAUCUUUGCAAUGUGUUUCCUCUUAGUUGCUCUGCACCCAGCAUAAAUCAGGGAGCUACAACAUUUUUUAUUUGGAGCAUCUGCUGGAACAGCAAUUAAUCACUGUCAGGCUAUCUGAAAAUAACCAUUAGUUUUUGUUUCAUUCUUUACUACAUAAGCAGAAGAGAUACAUCUCCAUCCCAGUUAUUAAUCCACUUGCUCUGUGGCCAGACUACACCUGGGAGCACACUUUUACCAGCUGAUCACAGGGAACAAGAGACAGAGUUCAGGUGGAGCUUAGCUGGAAAUAGGGACUGCCCGAGAAUGGAGGGAGAAAAAGCAGAGAAGGGACCAUGGCUGGGAAGAGGAGGAAGCCUUGCAGCUCUGCAAACAGAUGUUACUGUUUAACAGGACCCAUAAAAGGAAUGGCUACGAAGCUUCAAAAAAUGAUUUUCCCUUUGUUUGGUAGCUUUGAGCUCCUUAGGCAAUUAAUUAGAAGAUAUUCACGGAACAUAUCUUUUUCACAUUUAGGCACGCAGCCAAAAAGUGACCAUAAACUUGGCAUCCUAGGGUUCUCUAUUAAUUUACUCUCCAUGUUUUCAGAGCUGUGCACUCCUUUUUAAGGUCAGAACAUUUUUUCCCCUAAUUUCUAGGACCACAAAUUCUAUCUCAUGAGAUCUAAAAGAUUCAAGCUCUGUUUUUAAGCCCUAGAUUUCAUUGUCAGUAGACAGUGUCCUGUAAGUAAGACUUCCAAAAUAUUUCACAUUUCUAGUUCCUAAGUCACUUAGCUGGCUCUGACAAUUCCUUUGACACACAAAAUUUAGGCAGCGGCACCGUGGGACAUCCGCGCAGUAGCUAUCUGCUAGGUUCGGCUCCACACUGCCUUUAAAGUCAGGCGAUGGGAUUUAAAGCUGGAGACGGAGAAGACCUGCUGGGAAUGGACACAUCACAGCCACGGCUCUUCUUUGCAGAGCUACGGCUGCAUCUGGAACAUGUGCAGCGGGAGGGCGGUAACAAUACAACGUUCACAUGCAGUGUAUAUGCACUGUCAGGAUCUCUGCCAGUAUGUUGUGUGUAAAUAGGAGUAAAUAUGUAUAUAUGGGUGUGUGCCUGCAUGUGGAUUAGUGGCAGUGUGUUGCUACUAAGUGCAUACACAGAAAAUUAUGGAUUGAUAAUUAUAAAAGUAUUAAUCCCACUUAUCAGCAUGAAAACUGUAUGUGCAUACCUGAAGCUUUCCUGUCUACUGAAACUGGUUUUAUGAUUGUAAAAGUGGCUUCAUACAAACUCUACUUAUAAGUCUACAAAUACAUUUUAGCACAUCAAAUGAUUUGUAUUAUUUAUGCUUAUCUUGAUGCUGCAGAACACAGCCCCGUGCCCUGCCUUGUGCCGUGUCUGGCUCACAAGGACAUCGCUGCUGCUGCCAGGUAAUGGAGUUACUCCUCGAACUCCCAUCGUCUAAAAUAAUAAAUCCCCAGCCUCUGCUGACGCCCUGGCA
RNAcentral lists this long non-coding RNA (2767 nucleotides) under Anas platyrhynchos platyrhynchos (common mallard). Its description in RNAcentral is "lncRNA (ENSAPLG00000026778.1)". Lineage: Eukaryota; Metazoa; Chordata; Aves; Anseriformes; Anatidae. The record is from RNAcentral.